RNAcentral lists this ribosomal RNA (484 nucleotides) under uncultured bacterium. RNAcentral describes it as "partial 16S ribosomal RNA". It matches the Rfam family "Bacterial small subunit ribosomal RNA", at positions 30 to 507 of the family's 1533-position model. The record is from RNAcentral.
AUUGAACGCUGGCGGCAGGCCUAACACAUGCAAGUCGAGCGGAUGAAGGGAGCUUGCUCCUGGAUUCAGCGGCGGACGGGUGAGUAAUGCCUAGGAAUCUGCCUGGUAGUGGGGGAUAACGUCCGGAAACGGGCGCUAAUACCGCAUACGUCCUGAGGGAGAAAGUGGGGGAUCUUCGGACCUCACGCUAUCAGAUGAGCCUAGGUCGGAUUAGCUAGUUGGUGGGGUAAAGGCCUACCAAGGCGACGAUCCGUAACUGGUCUGAGAGGAUGAUCAGUCACACUGGAACUGAGACACGGUCCAGACUCCUACGGGAGGCAGCAGUGGGGAAUAUUGGACGAUGGGCGAAAGCCUGAUCCAGCCAUGCCGCGUGUGUGAAGAAGGUCUUCGGACUGUAAAGCACUUUAAGUUGGGAGGAAGGGCAGUAAGUUAAUACCUUGCUGUUUUGACGUUACCAACAGAAUAAGCACCGGCUAACUUCGUG